AGUGGCGCACGGGUGAGUAACACGUGGGAACAUACCUUAUAGUACGGAAUAACUGCGGGAAACUGUAGCUAAUACCGUAUAUUCCAGCAAUGGGAAAGAUUUAUCGCUAUAAGAUUGGCCCGCGCAAGAUUAGCUUGUUGGUGAGGUAAAAGCUCACCAAGGCUUCGAUCUUUAGCUGGUUUGAGAGGAUGAUCAGCCACACUGGGACUGAGACACGGCCCAGACUCCUACGGGAGGCAGCAGUAGGGAAUAUUGGACAAUGGGGGCAACCCUGAUCCAGCAAUGCAGCGUGAGUGACGAAGGCCUUAGGGUUGUAAAACCCUUUCAUCGGUGAGGAUAAUGACAGUAGCCGAAGAAGAAGGACCGGCUAAUUCCGUGCCAGCAGCCGCGGUAAUACGGAAGGUCCUAGCGUUGUUCGGAAUUACUGGGCGUAAAGCGCAUGUAGGCGGAACAGAAAGUUAGAAGUGAAAUCCCUGGGCUCAACCUAGGAAUUGCUUUUAAAACUUCUGUUCUGGAAUUCACGAGAGGAAAAUGGA
This 536-nucleotide ribosomal RNA is filed under the name uncultured marine bacterium. Its description in RNAcentral is "bacterial SSU rRNA". It matches the Rfam family "Bacterial small subunit ribosomal RNA", at positions 94 to 665 of the family's 1533-position model. The record is from RNAcentral.